AUUGAACGCUGGCGGCAGGCCUAACACAUGCAAGUCGAACGAGUGGCGGACGGGUGAGUAAUGUCUGGGAAACUGCCCGAUGGAGAGGGAUAACUACUGGAAACGGUAGCUAAUACCGCAUCCCAUCGGAUGUGCCCAGAUGGCAUUAGCUAGUAGGUGGGGUAACGGCUCACCUAGGCGACGAUCCCUAGCUGGUCUGAGAGGAUGACCAGCCGCACUGGAACUGAAACAGGGUCAAGACUCCUACGAGAGGCAGCAAUGGGGAAUAUUGCACAAUGGGCGCAAGCCUGAUACAGCCAUGCCGCGUGUAUGAAAAAGGCCUUCGGGUUGUAAAGUACUUUCAGCGAGGAGGCGUUACUCGCAGAAGAAGCACCGGCUAACUCCGUGCCAGCAGCCGCGGUAAUAC
RNAcentral lists this ribosomal RNA (406 nucleotides) under uncultured bacterium. Its description in RNAcentral is "partial 16S ribosomal RNA". It matches the Rfam family "Bacterial small subunit ribosomal RNA", at positions 30 to 526 of the family's 1533-position model. The record is from RNAcentral.